RNAcentral lists this long non-coding RNA (316 nucleotides) under Sinocyclocheilus anshuiensis. RNAcentral describes it as "lncRNA (ENSSANG00000037103.1)". The record is from RNAcentral. Lineage: Eukaryota; Metazoa; Chordata; Actinopteri; Cypriniformes; Cyprinidae.
AGAGGAAAAAUCUGAGGUUGUGUAAACACAGUUUAAUCUCACAUAUAAAAGGCCAAGCUCAUUUUGAGCCAGAUCCGUCUUAAGCUGCACCAUUUCUUUUCUUACUGAUGGCUGUCUCCUUUCCAAACGCACAAAAUCAAGGGCUCGGUGUGGGUAAGAGACAUAAAUGAUAAGAUUUUUGGGGUUUCCUGUUGUGGAGUCCCCAAAGAAAAGAUACAUGAAUAGGGAGACACUCAUGCUCUUUUUCAUUUGGAUCUGGCCUGCAGAUCACAACAGACUGGACAUCUGGAGAGCCGGCAGGAUUCCCAGGUGGGCU